This 24-nucleotide non-coding RNA is filed under the name Cricetulus griseus (Chinese hamster). Lineage: Eukaryota; Metazoa; Chordata; Mammalia; Rodentia; Cricetidae. The record is from RNAcentral.
UCCCCUACAGAGAAGGGCUUGUGG